AGAGUUUGAUCGUGGCUCAGGAUGAACGCUAGCGGCGCGCCUAAUGCAUGCAAGUCGAGCGAUGAGGUUCUUUCGGGAGCGAUCAGCGGCAGACGGGUGAGUAACACGUGGGUGACCUACCCUCCAGACGGGGAUAACGGAUGGAAACAUGCGCUAAUACCCGAUGAACUUGUACGGUCGAAGGUACAAGGAAAGCUUCGGUGCUGGGGGGGGGCCUGCGGCCCAUCAGCUAGUUGGUAGGGUAAGAGCCUACCAAGGCGAAGACGGGUAGGGGGUGUGAGAGCACGGCCCCCCACAAUGGGACUGAGACACGGCCCAUACUCCUACGGGAGGCAGCAGCAGGGAAUAUUGCCCAAUGGACGGAAGUCUGAGGCAGCGACGCCGCGUGGAUGAGGAAGGCCUUCGGGUUGUAAAAUCCUUUUCUGGGGGAAGAGGAAGGACGGUACCCUGGGAAUAAGCGUCGGCUAACUACGUGCCAGCAGCCGCGGUAAGACGUAGGACGCAAGCGUUAUCCGGACUUACUGGGCGUAAAGCGUCUGUAGGCGGUGCGCUAAGUUGGACGUGAAAGCUCCGUGCUCAGCGCGGAGAGGCCGUUCAAUACUGGCGGACUAGAGGGUGACAGAGGGGCGUGGAAUUUCCGGUGUAGCGGUAAAAUGCGCAGAUAUCGGAAGGAACACCAGUGGCGAAGGCGGCGCCCUGGGUCACAACUGACGCUGAGAGACGAAAGCUAGGGGAGCGAACAGGAUUAGAGACCCUGGUAGUCCUAGCCCUAAACGAUGGAUGCUAGGUGUGGGGCCGAACUGGCUCUGUGCCACAGCUAACGCGUUAAGCAUCCCGCCUGGGGAGUACGGCCGCAAGGUUAAAACUCAAACGAAUUGACGGGGACCCGCACAAGCAGCGGAGCGUGUGGUUUAAUUCGAUUCUACACGAAGAACCUUACCUGGGUUUGACAUGGAGGUGGUAGCGAAGCGAAAGCAGAGCGACCCUUCGGGGAGCCUUCACAGGUGCUGCAUGGCUGUCGUCAGCUCGUGCCGUGAGGUGUCGGGUUAAGUCCCGUAACGAGCGCAACCCUUGCCCUUAGUUACAAGUGUCUAGGGGGACUGCCGGCGGGAAGCCGGAGGAAGGUGGGGAUGACGUCAAGUCAGCAUGGCCCCUUAUGUCCAGGGCUACACACACGCUACAAUGGGCGGUACAAUGGGCAGCCAAGCCGCGAGGCGGAGCGAAUCCCAACAAAGCCGUUCAUAGUUCGGAUAGCAGGCUGCAACUCGCCUGCUUGAAGCU
This 1281-nucleotide ribosomal RNA is filed under the name metagenome. RNAcentral describes it as "bacterial SSU rRNA". It matches the Rfam family "Bacterial small subunit ribosomal RNA", at positions 8 to 1327 of the family's 1533-position model. The record is from RNAcentral.